UAAGGAAUAUUGGUCAAUGGACGCAAGUCUGAACCAGCCAUGCCGCGUGAAGGAUGAAGGCCCUCUGGGUUGUAAACUUCUUUUAUGUGGGAAGAAAUGUACCGAUUCUUCGGUAUUUGACGGUACCAUAGGAAUAAGCACCGGCUAACUCCGUGCCAGCAGCCGCGGUAAUACGGAGGGUGCAAGCGUUAUCCGGAUUCACUGGGUUUAAAGGGUGCGUAGGUGGGAAUGAAAGUCAGUGGUGAAAUCUCCGGGCUUAACCCGGAAACUGCCAUUGAUACUUUGUUUCUUGAAUCUUCUGGAGGUCAGCGGAAUAUGUCAUGUAGCGGUGAAAUGCUUAGAUAUGACAUAGAACACCGAUUGCGAAGGCAGCUGACUACGGGAGUAUUGACACUGAGGCACGAAAGCGUGGGGAUCAAACAG
RNAcentral lists this ribosomal RNA (423 nucleotides) under uncultured bacterium. Its description in RNAcentral is "bacterial SSU rRNA". It matches the Rfam family "Bacterial small subunit ribosomal RNA", at positions 355 to 775 of the family's 1533-position model. The record is from RNAcentral.